RNAcentral lists this ribosomal RNA (250 nucleotides) under uncultured bacterium. Its description in RNAcentral is "partial 16S ribosomal RNA". It matches the Rfam family "Bacterial small subunit ribosomal RNA", at positions 524 to 773 of the family's 1533-position model. The record is from RNAcentral.
UACGGAGGGGGCUAGCGUUGUUCGGAAUGACUGGGCGUAAAGCGCGCGUAGGCGGAUUGGCAAGUUGGGGGUGAAAUCCCGGGGCUCAACCUCGGAAUGGCCUUCAAGGCUGCUGGUCUUGAGUUCGAGAGAGGUGAGUGGAAUUCCGAGUGUAGAGGUGAAAUUCGUAGAUAUUCGGAGGAACACCAGUGGCGAAGGCGGCUCACUGGCUCGACACUGACGCUGAGGUGCGAAAGCGUGGGGAGCAAAC